Alexandromys fortis (reed vole) is the source of this 404-nucleotide long non-coding RNA. RefSeq lists it as uncharacterized. The record is from RefSeq and is a predicted model, not a curated record. The transcript has 4 exons. Lineage: Eukaryota; Metazoa; Chordata; Mammalia; Rodentia; Cricetidae.
CUUGGCAGUCCGGAGCCCACCGGGUUCCCGCGGAUGAAUAAUUAAGCUUCUGUCAAGUAAAUAUGCUUUAGCACCAUCACACCCACUUGUAAAGGGAACAGAGAAACAAACGAGAGAGACGUGCGCGGUGACCACGGACAGGUGGAAGGCGGUACAGCCGGGUCAAGAACUGCAGUUGUAGAAAAUGACCUUGAACUCCUGGUUCUCUUGCCUUUGACCCUCAAGGGCUGGGAGUGUGCCACCACGCUCAGCUCCUUUUCACGACCCAGUUCAGGAGUCCUCAAUACUUUGAAAGGAUGUCCAGGAACUGGUGGAGCCAAACUCAGACGCAAUGGAGCCCUAAUCUAAGCCUGGUGUGCCCUCUGGAGUUCACCAGUCCCUGAAUACUUCCACAUGCAAUUCUU